This 253-nucleotide ribosomal RNA is filed under the name uncultured bacterium. Its description in RNAcentral is "partial 16S ribosomal RNA". It matches the Rfam family "Bacterial small subunit ribosomal RNA", at positions 524 to 776 of the family's 1533-position model. The record is from RNAcentral.
UACGUAGGGUGCAAGCGUUGUCCGGAAUUAUUGGGCGUAAAGAGCUCGUAGGCGGUCUGUCGCGUCGGCUGUGAAAUCCCGAGGCUCAACCUCGGGUCUGCAGUCGAUACGGGCAAACUAGAGUAUUGCAGGGGAGACUGGAAUUCCUGGUGUAGCGGUGAAAUGCGCAGAUAUCAGGAGGAACACCGGUGGCGAAGGCGGCUCUCUAGUACGGUACUGACGCUGAGACGCGAAAGCGUGGGGAGCGAACAGG